CACAUGCAAGUCGAGGGGUAACGAUGGUGCUUGCACCAGGCGACGACCGGCGCACGGGUGAGUAACGCGUAUGCAACCUACCCAUAACUUGAGAAUAGCCCAUAGAAAUGUGGAUUAAUACUCAAUAAUAUUUUUUAGAGGCAUCUCUAAAUUCUUAAAGUUCCGGCGGUUAUGGAUGGGCAUGCGUGACAUUAGUUUGUUGGUGGGGUAACGGCUCACCAAGUUGACGAUGAUGUCUAUGGGGUCUUAAAGGAUGGUCCCACACACUGGUACUGAGACACGGACCAGACUCCUACGGGAGGCAGCAGUGAGGAAUAUUGGGCAAUGGGUGCAAACCUGACCCAGCCAUACCGCGUGCAGGAUGACGGCCCUAUGGGUUGUAAACUGCUUUUAUACGGGAAGAAAAAUCUCUACGUGUAGAGAACUGACGGUACCGUACGAAUAAGGAUCGGCUAACUCCGUGCCAGCAGCCGCGGUAAUACGGAGGAUCCAGGCGUUAUCCGGAUUUAUUAGGUCUAAAGGGUGCGUAGGCGGAAAUAUAAGUCAGUGGUGAAAUCCUGCAGCUCAACUGUAGAACUGCCAUUGAUACUGUUUUUCUUGAGUAUAGUUGAGGUAGGCGGAAUGUGUAGUGUAGCGGUGAAAUGCAUAGAUAUUACACAGAACACCAAUUGCGAAGGCAGCUUACUAAACUAUAACUGACGCUGAUGCACGAAAGCGUGGGUAGCGAACAGGAUUAGAUACCCUGGUAGUCCACGCCGUAAACGAUGAUUACUCGUUGCAUGCAAUACACCGUAUGUGACUUAGCGAAAGCAUUAAGUAAUCCACCUGGGGAGUACGUUGGCAACAAUGAAACUCAAAGGAAUUGACGGGGGCCCGCACAAGCGGAGGAACGUGUGGUUUAAUUCGAUGAUACGCGAGGAACCUUACCUGGACUUAAAUGUAGAACGACAGAUCGGGAAACUGAUCUUUCUUCGGGCGGACUGCAAGGUGCUGCAUGGCUGUCGUCAGCUCGUGCCGUGAGGUGUCGGGUUAAGUCCCAUAACGAGCGCAACCCCUAUCAUUAGUUGCUAACAGGUAAUGCUGAGGACUCUAGCGAGACUGCCACCGUAAGGUGUGAGGAAGGUGGGGAUGACGUCAAGUCAGCACGGCCCUUAUAUCCGGGGCUACACACGUGUUACAAUGGUCGAUACAAAGGGCAGCUACACGGCGACGUGAUGCAAAUCUCGAAAAUCGAUCUCAGUUCGGAUUGAAGUCUGCAACUCGACUUCAUGAAGGUGGAUUCGCUAGUAAUCGUGCAUCAGCAACGGCACGGUGAAUACGUUCCCGGGCCUUGUACACACCGCCCGUCAAGCCAUGGAAGCUGAGGGUACCUGAAGUCUGUAACCGUAAGGAGCGGCCUAAGGUAAAAUUAGUA
RNAcentral lists this ribosomal RNA (1414 nucleotides) under uncultured prokaryote. RNAcentral describes it as "partial 16S ribosomal RNA". It matches the Rfam family "Bacterial small subunit ribosomal RNA". The record is from RNAcentral.